AGAUUGUCCAAUUACCUACCUGCCAAUUGCAAGGCCUACAGAUAAUUUGUCUUGCAAGAAUUAUAAAAGUAACAUAAAUCAUGGGAUUGUUCUGUCUCUAUUCUUGUCAAUGCUCUUGGAGUUCUUCGCCUAAAAUCGUAGUUUUUGCUUUAUUUUGUCCUUUCUUCUUGAUUAAAAAAAAUAAGGCCAAGUCAUAGGGUUUUGGAACACAAUUUUUUAACACAAAAGUUGACACUCUGUGCUGUUCAUUAUAUUUAUACGGUGAACAUAAUAAACUCUAUUUGUAACACAAACACAAGAUUGUGUCAUCAAUUAAUUUCACUACUUCAUUUAUAAAAAAGUAUUUUGUUUACCACUUUUUUACUAUAUAUAUCUCGUUAACCACUUUGACUACUUCACUAAUCACGAAAAUGCAAAUCAUUAAUCAGUUAUUAUACAUAAUUACAAUAUGACUGAAGUACAUAUAUUUAUGUACGUGAUUAAUGUAUUGCAUUUUCGUAGUUAAUUAAGUAAUCAAAGUGGUUAAUGAAAUAUAUGGUAAAAAAGUGGUUAAUAACAUAUACUCUUUCUGUUUUAAAAUGAGUGUCGUUUUAGUCAAUUGCACACAUAUUAAGGAAUGAAAUGAAAUAAUCAUCAGACAUAACACUUUUACUAAACAACCCUUGUUUUAUAUGAAAAAAACAAACUUAAAGUUGAAUUGAAAAUUGUGUGAGAAAAAAGUUGGAGUAUUUAUUGAGGGUAAAGUUGGAAGAAAAAAAAUUAAAGUUGUAUUAGAAAUAUAAAGUGACAUUCAUUUUGAAACAAUUAUUUUUUUUCUAAAGCGACACUCAUUUUGAAACGGAGGGAGUACUUUCUUUUCUUUUUGUUGAUGAAGUAGUAAAAUGUGUUAAUGAUUCAACUCAAACAUUUAUGUUACACAAAUAUAGUCUUCUAUAUUUUAAAAAAAGUUCUUUUUUAAACAAAAAUAAAAAAUAUUGCUCGGAAUGAACAGUACAGAUAGCUCAUUUUAUGGUGAAUGUUGUGUUCCAAUCCUAUAUUAAUAAUGUAAUUGGCUUGUAUGCCUUAAAAAAAAGUUCUUUGCUCGUAUAAUAGGCGAAGAAAGAAUAAAUUAAAAUGUUGGUACUUUUUUCUUUUUUUAAUCGAAAAUUCAAAUUUUAUAUUUUGAAGACUAUUACUGCUUGAGUUAAUAUUGAUAUUAAUGUUACUAUGAACAUAGUUCAGUUGGUAAGAAUAUUAUCAUAAGUAAGAGUCAUAGUUCGAACAUCAGAUUUUCCACUUAUGACUUUCUAGCAAUUAGACUAUUUAAGUAAAAAAAAUUGUGUUGUUAUUAAUUGUGAAAUUAUAAAUCAAAAGAACAAUAAUAAUAUGUUCACAAAAACAAUCAAUCAUAAUGUUAGGGACUAAAUUGAUAACGAAAUUGUGAUAUCUCAUGCAUGCAACCUCAUCAAUUAACAGAAUAUUUUAACGUUAGAGACUAAAUUGAUAACGAAACUGCAUAUUCAGGGGACUACUUUAAAUUUAAUUUUGAGUCAUAUAGCUUUGUGACAUCAAAGUGCAUAAUGAAGGAGCAAAAUGACUAUUUUUAUUUAAAUAAGACCUAAUAUUUAAGGUGGCUAAUAGCCUGGGAAUAGAGAGUUUUUCCCACCAUGAAAAAACUCCCUUUUUCAGGACACCUGUCAGUGGACAACCUAUUUCAGAAAGAAAAAUAAAAAAAAUGAUAUUCAUUUUUUUAAUGUUGUUUGUCUUUUCUGCUGUUACCAACACCUUCAAUUGGUCUCUGCACCUCUAUUCAGCCUCCCUUGACUGUGAAAUUAUCAGUUUAUCACCAUUAAAUCCCUUUCAUUUUUCUCUAUAAAAACCACUAAAAUAUUUUUAUAUUGGAGAUAUUUCAAAAACCCAGACCACCCACUUCUCUCCAUCUUAGUUCCCUCUUUUUGGUUUUGGAGGUUUUGGUUCCUUGGUUAUUAUUAUUAUUUUUUUUUUUGUCAUCUAUAUUCUCCAUACCUAUUUUGGUCAUUUUUUUUGUGAACCCAGUUUUGAGUGGCACCACCGUGCCGGAAACUUAAUGGGCGGCCAUAUCUUCUCUUUUUUUUCUCCCUCGUUUUUUAAAUAAAAUAAAACAUAAAAUUAUUUUGUAGUGUGAGAGGAAAUGAAAGUUUAAGAAUUGACAGUGACAAAAAUAAAAGUAAUAAUAAUGUUAAGUGAAUAGCUGCAAGUGUGAGACACCCUACUUCCCAUGGAUCUUGAUGAUGAAUAGUGGAUAUACAAUUUGUAGUGAUGAUAGUGAAGAAUGAUGAAGAGUGGGUCUAUGAAGAGUGGGUUUGAUGUUGAUGAAUGUAUGAAGAUGGUGAUGAAGAUGGAGAAGAGGAGGAGGGAAGAAGAUGAAGAAAGUUGAAAAAAAUUAAUAAAUCAAAUUAUAAAUUGUUAUUUAAUUAAUGGUGGGGUUGGUUUUUUUGUCCACCAUAUAACAUCAAAAAGUUAUAACAAUUAACAAGUAAUAGAUCUAAGCCAUCCAAUUAAAAAAUUAUUAAAUCAAUGACUAUGAUUAAACUUUUCUAUUAUGAAAAAGAAGUUCCCUUUCCCAUACUAAACCCCACCAAUAUUUAAACUGCCACUUUGUUUAUAUUUAAACUUUCCGAAUUAAGCCAUGAGGAAGGAAAACAUGUACCGGCUCUAGCCUCUAGGAGCCAUAAUAUAUUACUGUUUUUGGUGGCCCCAUUAAUGAGUUUUUUUUAAAAUUUUUAUUUUUAUUUUAUUUUUUAUGUGUGAACAAAACUUAGCGAUGGACACGCGAAACACGGGUGUGGCCAUGUUGGUGUUUGUCACGGGAAACACGAGUGUGCACUGUCCAUAUUAUAUUAGAGAUAAUCUUGUUUUUGCUUUAUUUGGAAAAUAUCAAAAUAUUUGGGGUACACAAUUCAAUUACUAUUAUUAACAAAAAUUCAAUUACUAUUAAUAGUAAAAGUUUAUGUUUAGAUUUAUUUAUUAAAUGAUGUAUGUAAUCUAUAAUGAAUACCAUAUAUAUAUAAUUAAUUGAAUAUACAAAAAAUUUAAAUUUUUACUUAUAAUAGUGACCAGAUAUUUUACUACUCUCUCCGUCCCAAAUUGUAUGUCGCUUUGGAAAAAAAUUUGUCCCAAAUUAUAUGUCGCUUUACAAUACCAAUGAAAUAUUAAUGAUACUUUUCCUAUUAUAUCUUUAACUAUUAAUUACUCUCUCUUCUUUCAAUUAUUUCAUUUAUCUUUCCUAUACCAUUUAUUAAGGAUAAUUUUGUAAAACAACUCAUAAUUUAUUUUCCCCACACAAUAUUAAUGACAUUUCUUAAUAUGUGCGAAAUGACCAAAACGUCAUACAAUUUGGGACGAAUGGAGUAUUUAAUAUUCUCUAUGUCCUAACUUAUACAACAUUCAAUCACUAAUAUAAACUAAAUUUUAUUCUUUAGAUUCAUUCAAUAAAUGAUGCAUGUGAUCUACUUCCUAUGUUUCUGUAUGUAAGCACCCUUUGCAUUUUUCACAUUUUUUUAAGAAAAGUAGUUAGUGCAAUUAAUGUGUUUAUUUUGUGGGUUAAUAUUACCAAAUUGUCAUUUGUUUGUAUGUGUAUUAAAUUUGACUUUUUAUAUUUUAAGACAGGUUAAUAAUAGUAUUAAUUAAGGUAUAUUUCAGAAAAUAAAAAUAAAUGCAUCUAGUAAUUUGAAAAGGAGUUUAUAUUUAGAGACAAAUUUUUAGUCAAAAGGGUGCUUAGAUAUAUUGAGACAGAGAUGAUAUAUUAUAGAUCACAUACCUCACUUAUUCAAUAAAUCAAAAAUAUAAAUUUUUACUUAUAAUAGUAACUGAAAAGUGUAAAUCAUUUUGAAGAAAAAAAAAUUAUUCUAGAUUAUAUAUCAUUUGAGAAUACCAAGGAAACAUUCUUAUCUUUUCUAUUAUACGAUUAACUAUUUAUUACUUUUUCUUCUUUUAAUUUUUUAAUUUAUUUUUUUCAUACCAUUUGUUAAGGCAAUUUUGUAAAACAACUUAUAAUAUCUAUUUUUCAUAUAAAAUUAAUUACAUUUCUUAAUACAUGUGAAAUGUUCAUAACCUCUUAUAAUUUGGGACGAAUGAGUAUCAAAUACUAUUUAAGAUGCUUGAAAAGUAUUUUAAUUUCUAAUACAUAAAAUAUAUAAAUUUUCAUAAAAAUUUACUUCCACAUGUUUCAUUUUUUUUUUUUUUUGGUCAAGUAGCCUAGUGGCUAGAGCUCACACAAUUUAAUUGUGGAGAAGUGGAGUGUCCGGGGUUCGAACCCCGGCUCCUUCAUAUAAUAUGCAAUAUCCCUACCAACUGAGCUAAGCUCACGGGGUUUAGAGUUGUAUGCGGUUUUUAAGGAAAUGAUCAGUUGAAUUUAUUUCAACGUUAAAAUUAAUGUAAUUUAUUAAAACAUCUUUAUUAAUUGUAGUUAGGUUAAUGAAUCAAAUAUAGAAAUAAUUUAUUGGAAUGUAUUUAUUUUAUUUAUUCUUUAACUUUUUAAUGAAUUGAAUGUACAAGAUUUUAUAGAAUAUUUCUUUUUUUGAGUUUAUUAACAUGUGUUUCAAGGGUACAAGUUAACACUAUCUUAUUUAUUAAUAGAACAAAUUAAUAAAUAUUGCAUUGAUAUUUUAAACUAACGAUUAUUUUAAGACAUAUAAAAAAUGCUAAAAUGAUACUUGACAAGUACUCUUUAAGAUGCUUAACAAGUAACUUCAUGCACUCAUUAACAUUACUUACGUACAAAGUAACUCACAAGCAUCCGUACAUUUUUUCUAACGAGGGAAAAAAAAGGUAUCCAUGUACAUACGUUGGCACUAUAUAAACACUAGCAACCAAAGAAGUUAUCAAAGACAUUGCAAAAAACACAAACAAAAAACUAGACAAAAAUGGGGUUGCUAGAUUAUUCCCAAUGGUUGAUCCUAGUAGCAGCUUUGUUGGGUGGAUAUGCAUUUGUGUUUGGUUUCCUAAGGAGAUUGAAUGAAUGGUACUAUGUUGGUAGGUUGGGAAAAUCACAAAAUCUCCCACCAGGUGAUAUGGGUUGGCCUUUCUUUGGUAACAUGCCUACCUUCGCCAAAUAUGCUAAAUCUGAUCCUGACUCACUCAUCUAUAACCUUAUCUCCAGGUAUUCAUCCAUCUAUGCUUCGGUUCAUCUACAAAACCAUGAAAUAUAAAUAAAUAAAAUCUUAUAUUUCAAUAUAUGUAAUAUUUGAUUUUCUUUGUCUCUUUCUUUUCAUGGCCAAUAUUUCUCUCAACCACAUAUUCUGUUGAUUAUCUUCUCUACCAACCUAUACCCGUCACAGUAUCACUCACCAUAUCUGCACUACAACAGCUCGCAUGGAUUACACGCGAAAACAAUAAACUUUUUUCGACUACUCUUUAUAGCAUUCACAAUAGAGAUUCUUAAUUUUGAGUACUUAAACUGGUCUCACAUAUAUACAUAAUUCAUUUAUAAUUUUUUAAUAACAUUAUCUAAUAAGCACUCAAUCACUCCAAUGCAGUAUCUUUGACAAAAGUUUUAAAUGAGUCCCACCAAUAAACAAAGCAUGCUAAACAAGCAUUGCAAAAUGAUUCAUUUAAUGAAAAGUAUUACGGGGUCCACUUAAGAAUGAGAUGCUUAAGUAAGACCCUAAAAAAUUUCUCCCUAAUAGGGGUAUAUAUAUAUAUUAGGCACCGCAUCUUAAAUCGUUAAAACCUAACCAUUGGAGAUGAUCCUAGAUAUCGGAUAUGAUUGUGGAGAUAAUGAUACUCGUAUGCGUGAAAAUCUAUACCCGUUACUAAACUAGUAAAAUUUCCAAAAUGUUAUACUUAAACAUUAAUAUUACCUACACAAAAGGAACUCUGGUCUAAUUUCCUAUUUUGCGUUUCUUGUUUCAUUAAUAAUUUUGUUGGCAUAGUAUAGUGAAACAGGAAUUAGACCAGGGAUGUAUUUAACAAAAAAAAGUAUAAACAGUUAAACACAUUAACUCCGACGUCCAAGAAUAAAACAGUUCCGCUGCAACUGUCUCGGCGUCUUUUUGCACCGUUGGAUAUGUCUAAAAAUACAUUUUUAAUAUGGUACAAAGACAACUCAAAUUUAACACUAAAAUCAUUGGUACUAUGACUUCGAAUGUGCUACUAUGACAACCAAUGGCGUUGCCAGAACCCUGAGUCAGGGGGUGCACACUUAUGAAACACUAACACUUGGACACGAUAUAGACACAUCGUCGUUGAUAGUAAUUAAAAAUAUCAAAAUUGAAUGUAAAUCACAUGUGUCGGUAUUGUGUCAGUGUCGGUCACCAAACAUAUGUUUGAAUAGAAGUGUAAUUGCUAUAGAGAUGCAGACUUUUUAUUUUCAUGAAUUAUUAUUAUUUUAUAUAUAAAAUUAUAACUAUUCAUUGUUUUUGACAAAAAAUUAGUGAUAUCAUUGUCAUAGUAUAGUUAAAAGUAGUAUACAAAAUACUUUUUUUUUAAGAAAGUAUACAAAAUACUUAUUUUAAUUAUUUUGUAUAUUUAAAUACAUUUAUUUGAAACAUAAAGUACAAAAAAUAGAGUAAUAAAGAAAUGAAAGAUCUUUUUUUUUAUGACAAAGAAAUCAAAGAUCAUUAAAGAAUACAUGGGUUCCAAACUAAUGUACAACUAAUGUACUUUGGAAAGAUUAAAGAAUAAAACAAACUAUAUUAAAUAAUGUUAAAUCAAAUAAAACGAAAAGAUAGAUUGUCAGUGUGGUACAAGGAAAGACAAAUAUGGAUGGCACAAAAACUGGAUGUGACAGUACAGAAGUUGUGUAUUUGGGUGCAAAGAAGAGAGAGAUUUGGUGCAAUGAAGGUGCAAGACUCAUACCUGAGGGGGUUCAUAAUGAAUCCCCUGGACAAUAGGUGGCUCCGCCCCUGAUGACAACCUUACUACGAUUCUGCGACCACUCAAAUAUGAUAUUAAUAUCAUUUUAAUAUCUAAUUUCUCCAAAGACAAAGGCACAAAAUAUCAAAAAAGACUCUGCUUAUAAGACCACUUUUUAUAUUUCCACCAAUGUUCCAACAUAUACUACUCAAGAAAAUUUACUCAAAACAUAGUGCAAAAACAUCUAUAGUCGUGGAUGCUCAUAAAUGUGACUAACUUUGGAUGGUUUUUAUUUUAUAAAAUACAGAUAUGGCAGGACAGGUAUGUACAGGACACAUUUGUUUGGGUAUCCAACCGUCAUAGUUUGCUCGCCAGAGACAUGUCGUAAUGUACUAAAAGACGAGGAACAUCUCAAGCCAGGAUACCCUGCUUCAGCUAUGGCACUUGCAGGGAAAAAAUCAUUCCAUGGAAUAUCAAGUGCCGAGCAUAAACGUUUGCGAAAGGUAACCACGUCUCCAAUAAAUGGUCACGAAUUGUACAAUUAUAUUGGUCUCAUAGAAGAUAUUGUAGUGAAAAAUUUAGAAGAUUCGUCUAAAACGAACACACCGGUUGAGUUUCUCAAAGAGGCCAAAAAGUUCACUUUUGAUGUCAUCACUUCUGUCUUCUUUUCCUCUGAUCGUGAACAUGCUGACCUUGCUUUGGUUGAGCAUUUGUACAUUGAUUUGCUUCGAGGAAUGAGGUCCCAAUCGAUCAAUCUUCCUGGCUUUCCAUUCUAUAAAGCACUCAAGGUAAUUAAUUAUAUACUCAUUUAUUCAUCUAAGUACACAAUUUGAUUUACACCUUAUAGUUACAUUUAAAAAAAUCCUAUUGUGUUUAGGCACGAAAGAAGUUGGUGAAGCUGUUGAAAGGUUUGGUGGAUCAUAAGAGGAGAAACAAUAAUAAUGAAAAACAACAGACAAAAAAAGAUUUGAUGGAGUUGUUGAUGGAAGCCAGAGACGACGAGGGUGAGAAGUUGGAAGAUGAAGACAUUAUAGACUUGCUUCUUUUGUUCUUGUUAGCUGGUCAUGAAAGCUCUGCUUAUGGUGUUUUGUGGACCGUUAUCAACCUCACUAAUCAUCCACAUGUCUUCGAAAGAGCCAAGGUUUUAAUACUAUUAAUUAAUGUGGCAUUUUCAAAAUUUGUUACUGUUUUUUUUUUUAACAAACAAAACUAUGAACCCUUUCAGAAAGAACAAGAAGAGAUUAUGGCAAGAAGGCCUUCCGAUCAAAAAGGACUUACACAUACGGAAAUUAGGCAAAUGAAAUAUCUUUCUCAGGUAUGCGAUAGGUGAAUUCUUUCUUAUCAUAUUAAUGAUUCCGGUCAUAAGUAGAAAGUUUGGUCAACAAAAUUUGAUAUAUUUAGUUGAUUAAAUACAUUAAAUUUUGUUGAUUCAAAUUUCUCGUAUAUUUAAGAUCGAAGAAGUACUAUUAUUUUAACAAAGUAUUUUUGCCUGAAUUAAAAAUAACCAUCUUUCAACUAAGUUGCAUGGUUAUUUCUAAAAUGAAAAUUAUGAUUUUAACAUGAUAUAUUCUACACUAUAGAUUAUUGGCUUAUUUCCAAAAUAAAAAGUAUGUUUUGAUAUGAUAUAUUCUACAUUAUAGGUUAUUGAUGAGAUGCUGCGCAAAACAAGUAUUUCAUUUGCGAACUUUAGACAGGCAAAAGUUGAUUUUAACCUCAAUGGUUAGUCAUUUCAUUCCAUAUAUUUUUCUGCGUUGAUAAUUUUGUACUCCAUGACAACUCCCUAGCAUGGUUUUGGUCGCAGUUGAUAACAAAUUUUUAGUUGCAGACAAAUGUAGUCAAUACGACUGCAAUUACGAUUGCAGAUACCUAUAAAAUUUUACGAAAUGGCUGCAAGAAAUACGAAACCAUGCCCUUAUAUUAAAAAAAAAAAUGUCAUCCAGCAUUAGAAGAAAAGAAAAACUAAAAAUGAAAAUGAAAAAUUGCAGGUUAUACUAUACCAAAAGGAUGGAAAGUCCUGGUAUGGAACAGAGGUGUUCACAUGGAUCCUGAAAACUACCCCAACCCAAAGGAAUUUGAUCCUUCCAGAUGGGAGGUAUGUAUAAUAAUUAAUAUUGAAUUGAUUUUUUUUUUUUUUUUUUAACAAUCCAUUUAUUUAAUUUAAUGAACAAAUAUGUAUUAUGUUAUGUGUACUUUAAAAAUGUGAUGCAGAAUUUCAAAGCAAGAGUAGGACAAUUUCUUCCAUUUGGAUAUGGAAGUAGGUAUUGUCCAGGAAGUGAUUUGGCUAAACUUGAGAUCACUAUUUACCUUCAUCAUUUUCUUCUUAACUACAGGUUAAUACACACUUGCUUCCAUUUUGCAAAGGAAUAAAAUUAUAAUUCAUUUUUCUAAAUAAAUAACCAAUUUUGUUCUGUCUCUGAUUGUUUUUGGUGUGCAGGAUGGAGAGAAUUAAUCCAGAUUGUCCAAUUACCUACCUGCCAAUUGCAAGGCCUACAGAUAAUUGUCUUGCAAGAAUUAUAAAAGUAACAUAAAUCAUGGGAUUGUUCUCUCUCUAUUCUUGUCAAUGCUCUUGGAGUUCUUCGCCUAAGAUCGUAGUUUUUACUUUAUUUUGUCCUUUCUUCUUGAUUAAAAAAAAUAAGGCCAAGUCAUAGGGUUUUGGAACACAAUUUUUUAACACAAAAGUUGACACUCUGUGCUGUUCAUUAUAUUUACACGGUGAACACAAUAAACUCUAUUUGUAACACAAACACAAGAUUGUGUCAUCAAUUAAUUUCACUACUUCAUUUAUAAAAAAGUAUUUUGUUUUCCACUUUUUUACUAUAUAUAUCUCGUUAACCACUUUGACUACUUCACUAAUCACGAAAAUGCAAAUCAUUAAUCAGUUAUUAUACAUAAUUACAAAAUGACUGAAGUACAUAUAUUUAUGUAAGUGAUUAAUGUAUUGCAUUUUCGUAGUUAAUUAAGUAAUCAAAGUGGUUAAUGAAAUAUAUGGUAAAAAAGUGGUUAAUAACAUAUACUCUUUCUGUUUUAAAAUGAGUGUCGUUUUAGCCAAUUGCACACAUAUUAAGGAAUGAAAUGAAAUAAUCAUUAGACAUAACACUUUUACUAAACAACCCUUGUUUUAUAUGAAAAAAACAAACUUAAAGUUGAAUUGAAAAUUGUGUGAGAAAAAAGUUGGAGUAUUUAUUGAGGGUAAAGUUGGAAGAAAAAAAAUUAAAGUUGUAUUAGAAAUAUAAAGUGACAUUCAUUUUGAAACAAUUAUUUUUUUUGCUAAAGCGACACUCAUUUUGAAACGGAGGGAGUACAUUCUUUUCUUUUCUUUUUGUUGAUGAAGUAGUAAAAUGUGUUAAUGACUCAACUCAAACAUUUAUGUUACACAAAUAUAGUCUUCUAUAUUUAAAAAAAAAAGUUCUUUUUUAAACAAAAAUAAAAAAUAUUGCUCGGAAUGAACAGUACAGAUAGCUCAUUUUAUGGUGAAUGUUGUGUUCCAAUCCUAUAUUAAUAAUGUAAUUGGCUUGUAUGCCUUAAAAAAAAGUUAUUUGCUCGUAUAAUAGGCCAAGAAAGAAUAAAUUAAAAUGUUGGUACUUUUUUCUUUUUUUAAUCGAAAAUAAAACAUCGAUACAUACUUUCUCUAUAUCGUUUCAAUUUUAUUGGAUGUCAAUUUAAGUUGACUUUUUUUUUUACAAUAGUUUUGAUUGAGAAACUCAAUUUACUUCCUAAUUCAAAUGGAAGUAGGGUUUAGGCUAUUUCGGCCUUCACCUAGGCAGUCAUCUUUUGAUGACAGUUUUUUUUUUUUUUAAAUAAAUCUCUUGAUGACAAUUAAAAUGAUGUG
Molecule: long non-coding RNA, 10642 nt
Filed under: Medicago truncatula (barrel medic)
Lineage: Eukaryota; Viridiplantae; Streptophyta; Magnoliopsida; Fabales; Fabaceae
Description: long non-coding RNA (MTRU_LNC002798)
Source: RNAcentral